RNAcentral lists this transfer RNA (69 nucleotides) under Falco columbarius. RNAcentral describes it as "tRNA-Arg". The record is from RNAcentral. Lineage: Eukaryota; Metazoa; Chordata; Aves; Falconiformes; Falconidae.
AGAAAGUUAGUCUAACUAAGACAGUUGAUUUCGACUCAACAAACCAUAGCCCCAUCCUAUGACUUUCUU